RNAcentral lists this ribosomal RNA (484 nucleotides) under uncultured bacterium. Its description in RNAcentral is "partial 16S ribosomal RNA". It matches the Rfam family "Bacterial small subunit ribosomal RNA", at positions 30 to 507 of the family's 1533-position model. The record is from RNAcentral.
AUUGAACGCUGGCGGCAGGCCUAACACAUGCAAGUCGAGCGGAUGAAGGGAGCUUGCUCCUGGAUUCAGCUGCGGACGGGUGAGUAAUGCCUAGGAAUCUGCCUGGUAGUGGGGGCUAACGUCCGGAAACGGGCGCUAAUACCGCAUCCGUCCUGAGGGAGAAAGUGGGGGAUCUUCGGACCUCACGCUAUCAGAUGAGCCUAGGUCGGAUUAGCUAGUUGGUGGGGUAAAGGCCUACCAAGGCGACGAUCCGUAACUGGUCUGAGAGGAUGAUCAGUCACACUGGAACUGAGACACGGUCCAGACUCCUACGGGAGGCAGCAGUGGGGAAUAUUCGACAAUGGGCGAAAGCCUGAUCCAGCCAUGCCGCGUGUGUGAAGAAGGUCUUCGGAUUGUAAAGCACUUUAAGUUGGGAGGAAGGGCAGUAAGUUAAUACCUUGCUGUUUUGACGUUACCAACAGAAUAAGCACCGGCUAACUUCGUG